AUUGAGUUUGAUCCUGGCUCAGAUUGAACGCUGGCGGCAGGCCUAACACAUGCAAGUCGAACGGUAACAGGAAACAGCUUGCUGUUUCGCUGACGAGUGGCGGACGGGUGAGUAAUGUCUGGGAAACUGCCUGAUGGAGGGGGGUAACUACUGGAAACGGUAGCUAAUACCGCAUAACGUCGCAAGACCAAAGAGGGGGACCUUCGGGCCUCUUGCCAUCGGAUGUGCCCAGAUGGGAUUAGCUAGUAGGUGGGGUAACGGCUCACCUAGGCGACGAUCCCUAGCUGGUCUGAGAGGAUGACCAGCCACACUGGAACUGAGACACGGUCCAGACUCCUACGGGAGGCAGCAGUGGGGAAUAUUGCACAAUGGGCGCAAGCCUGAUGCAGCCAUGCCGCGUGUAUGAAGAAGGCCUUCGGGUUGUAAAGUACUUUCAGCGGGGAUGAAGGGAGUAAAGUUAAUACCUUUGCUCAUUGACGUUACCCGCAGAAGAAGCACCGGCUAACUCCGUGCCAGCAGCCGCGGUAAAU
This 530-nucleotide ribosomal RNA is filed under the name uncultured bacterium. RNAcentral's name for it is "bacterial SSU rRNA". It matches the Rfam family "Bacterial small subunit ribosomal RNA", at positions 1 to 525 of the family's 1533-position model. The record is from RNAcentral.